GUUAAUCUUUAUAAUUUAAACAAAGCAUGUGUUUAACUUGGUUUAUAAAGGAGUUAAGCUUGACGUGGUUUUUUAAUAUUUUAAAUAAGUUGAGUUAGAGCUUGGCUUGUUUAUAAAUUAAAUCAGUCAGUGAUAAGUUAAGCUCAAAUUUAGUAUAUUUUAAACGAGUCGAGCUUGAAUAAUUAAGUUCGGCUUGUCAUGUAAAUGCAAAA
This 212-nucleotide unclassified non-coding RNA is filed under the name Hevea brasiliensis (rubber tree). The record is from RNAcentral. Lineage: Eukaryota; Viridiplantae; Streptophyta; Magnoliopsida; Malpighiales; Euphorbiaceae.